GAUGAACGCUGGCGGCGUGCCUAAUACAUGCAAGUCGAGCGAACAGAUGAGGAGCUUGCUCCUCUGACGUUAGCGGCGGACGGGUGAGUAACACGUGGAUAACCUACCUAUAAGACUGGGAUAACUUCGGGAAACCGGAGCUAAUACCGGAUAAUAUAUUGAACCGCAUGGUUCAAUAGUGAAAGACGGUUUUGCUGUCACUUAUAGAUGGAUCCGCGCCGCAUUAGCUAGUUGGUAAGGUAACGGCUUACCAAGGCAACGAUGCGUAGCCGACCUGAGAGGGUGAUUGGCCACACUGGAACUGAGACACGGUCCAGACUCCUACGGGAGGCAGCAGUAGGGAAUCUUCCGCAAUGGGCGAAAGCCUGACGGAGCAACGCCGCGUGAGUGAUGAAGGUCUUCGGAUCGUAAAACUCUGUUAUUAGGGAAGGACAAAUGUGUAAGUAACUAUGCACGUCUUGACGGUACCUAAUCAGAAAGCCACGGCUAACUACGUG
Molecule: ribosomal RNA, 497 nt
Filed under: uncultured bacterium
Lineage: Bacteria
Description: partial 16S ribosomal RNA
Rfam family: Bacterial small subunit ribosomal RNA
Source: RNAcentral